This 77-nucleotide transfer RNA is filed under the name Mycobacteroides chelonae. Its description in RNAcentral is "tRNA-Thr". It matches the Rfam family "tRNA". Rfam says of the family: Transfer RNA (tRNA) molecules are approximately 80 nucleotides in length. Their secondary structure includes four short double-helical elements and three loops (D, anti-codon, and T loops). Lineage: Bacteria; Bacillati; Actinomycetota; Actinomycetes; Mycobacteriales; Mycobacteriaceae. The record is from RNAcentral. RNAcentral also lists the same sequence under 3 other names.
GCCGGAUUAGCUCAACGGGCAGAGCACCUAUCUAGUAAAUAGGAAUUGAGCGGGUUCGAGUCCUGCAUCCGGCUCCA